Molecule: ribosomal RNA, 158 nt
Filed under: Phyllachora sp.
Lineage: Eukaryota; Fungi; Ascomycota; Sordariomycetes; Phyllachorales; Phyllachoraceae
Description: 5.8S ribosomal RNA
Rfam family: 5.8S ribosomal RNA
About the family: 5.8S ribosomal RNA (5.8S rRNA) is a component of the large subunit of the eukaryotic ribosome. It is transcribed by RNA polymerase I as part of the 45S precursor that also contains 18S and 28S rRNA.
Source: RNAcentral
AAACUUUCAACAACGGAUCUCUUGGCUCUGGCAUCGAUGAAGAACGCAGCGAAAUGCGAUACGUAAUGUGAAUUGCAGAAUCCAGUGAAUCAUUGAAUCUUUGAACGCACAUUGCGCCCGCUAGUAUUCUGGCGGGCAUGCCUGUUCGAGCGUCAUUU